This 24-nucleotide non-coding RNA is filed under the name Rattus norvegicus (Norway rat). Lineage: Eukaryota; Metazoa; Chordata; Mammalia; Rodentia; Muridae. The record is from RNAcentral.
UCAACACUACUUAUGGAGCAAAGG